This is a long non-coding RNA of Bombyx mori (domestic silkworm), 1371 nucleotides long. RefSeq lists it as uncharacterized. Lineage: Eukaryota; Metazoa; Arthropoda; Insecta; Lepidoptera; Bombycidae. The transcript is spliced from 2 exons. The record is from RefSeq and is a predicted model, not a curated record.
CAUGGUAGUGUGUAAUGUUUUUUUAAAUUGAUUUAAUAUAUUUUUUGUGUAUAAUUUAAAAAAACAUUAACAUUUUGCACUCCUCUAUAUUUUCUACAAGUGUGGGAAAUUUCAUACUCCUCCGUCCGCGCAAUUUUCGUAAAAAGGGUUACAAAAUUUUUGCUUCAGGCAUUAAUAUACUUUAUAGAUUAGUCGUGCGUACGUGGCUUAUGUUACAAUCUUGUCGGUCUUUAUUGUGUAUUUUUUUAGCUUAUAAUGUGUAUUGUAAAAUAUAUAUAAAUAAAUAAAAACUGUCUGAAGAUCGGAAGUGAAUUUAGAACAAUUCUCACGACAAUCUACAACGUAGUUCCCGUGGGAAAACAUUAUACGGUACUUCAUUACAGCGAAUGCAUACAAAUGGAUCCGCUCAAACCAGAUACUGAACUAUCGGGUCGAGGGCUAGCGAUAUCAGACGCAUCUACCACGCGAAAGGUCGCGAGUUUGAGACCAGGCAUCUGGACGCUUAAUCGACAAUCUGAAAUAUAUAUCCUGUCUAUCGAGAGUUUUAUGACUAGUCUAUCUGAUGCCAAACCUCUUUAUUUAUUUGGACCCGUAUAUUGAAUCACAUACUAUCUCCAACACGCAUUGGUUUCUCAGAAAUAGUGAGAUUCAUGGAUAUUUAGAAAUACCGACUGCUAGAGAGGAAGUCAACAAGAACAGCAAGAGAUACAAAGAAAGACUAAAUGAGCACUCAAAUGAAUUGGCAAGGUGCCUGCUAGAUACAACUGGGGAUGUGAAAUGUUUAAGAAGAUGGCAAAUUUUAGAAUUAGAUCGAAGAAACUGCUGUAAUUGAUGACAUUUAAUGUAAUGUCAUCCAAAACUCGAACCCCUUGGGACACUUCUGAUUAUGGCUAUCGAGCCGAUUGCAGAUAAAUAUAGAAAGAAAAAAAAAUUGAUUCAGAGGUUCAUGCGUUUGGUAUGUGAUGAAAAUUAGUGAAAAGAAUUUAGUUCAUAAAUCAGACAAAAGUACUAUAAUAAACACGACGAAUCACUAAUACUAGUAAAGCGGCCUGGGCUGCUGAUUCUUAAAAAAAUCUUAGGAUAGUCAAGCAGUCAAGAGUCAUAUAAAAUCUUUUACUGGGCGUACUGAACUACUCUAGUAUGGUCGGAGAUUAAAAAAACCUCAACGUUGAUUAUCCUUCUGGCAACAUUUUCUGUAAAAUAGCUGUGCUUUCUAGAUUUUGAAUGAAAUAUCAGUCAUUCCAACGCGACAGAUACUACAAUGACAUGGGCAACAGUAGUUGUUCUGUGAUACCCAUCAGCAGUGAUAAAGUAAAUGUGAGAUUUAAAGUCUGUGGUUCAGAUACAGAUAAUUAAAUAAUUAAAAUCUCA